CGCUUCUUUUUCCACCGGAGCUUGCUCCACCGGAAAAAGAAGAGUGGCGAACGGGUGAGUAACACGUGGGUAACCUGCCCAUCAGAAGGGGAUAACACUUGGAAACAGGUGCUAAUACCGUAUAACAAUCGAAACCGCAUGGUUUUGAUUUGAAAGGCGCUUUCGGGUGUCGCUGAUGGAUGGACCCGCGGUGCAUUAGCUAGUUGGUGAGGUAACGGCUCACCAAGGCCACGAUGCAUAGCCGACCUGAGAGGGUGAUCGGCCACAUUGGGACUGAGACACGGCCCAAACUCCUACGGGAGGCAGCAGUAGGGAAUCUUCGGCAAUGGACGAAAGUCUGACCGAGCAACGCCGCGUGAGUGAAGAAGGUUUUCGGAUCGUAAAACUCUGUUGUUAGAGAAGAACAAGGAUGAGAGUAACUGUUCAUCCCUUGACGGUAUCUAACCAGAAAGCCACGGCUAACUACGUGCCAGCAGCCGCGGUAAUACGUAGGUGGCAAGCGUUGUCCGGAUUUAUUGGGCGUAAAGCGAGCGCAGGCGGUUUCUUAAGUCUGAUGUGAAAGCCCCCGGCUCNACCGGGGAGGGUCAUUGGAAACUGGGAGACUUGAGUGCAGAAGAGGAGAGUGGAAUUCCAUGUGUAGCGGUGAAAUGCGUAGAUAUAUGGAGGAACACCAGUGGCGAAGGCGGCUCUCUGGUCUGUAACUGACGCUGAGGCUCGAAAGCGUGGGGAGCAAACAGGAUUAGAUACCCUGGUAGU
Molecule: ribosomal RNA, 756 nt
Filed under: bacterium enrichment culture clone WG_9
Lineage: Bacteria
Description: bacterial SSU rRNA
Rfam family: Bacterial small subunit ribosomal RNA
Source: RNAcentral